GCGAAAGCUAAGUAAGGGCACACGGGGGAUGCCUUGGCGUCUGGUGCCGACGAAGGACGUGGUACACUGCGAAAAGCGCUGACAAGGUGUGUGCAACCGUUAUAGUCAGCGGUGUCCGAAUGGGGAAACCCGGUGUGGGUCAUGCCACAUCACUCCUUAGGGAGAGGGAACCUGGUGAACUGAAACAUCUAAGUAGCCAGAGGAAAAGAAAGAAUUCCGUUAGUAGUGGCGAGCGAACGCGGAAGAGCCUAAACCCCGCAAGGGGUGUUGUAGGGCUUGGCGGAAGGGAAUGAAAGCGAGUAGAACGGCGUGGGAAAGCCGGCCAAAGAGGGUGAUAGCCCCGUACACGAAGUGGCAGUUCCUGGCUAAGUACCUGAGUACCGCAGGGCACGAGAAACCCAGCGGGAAUCCGGGAGGACCACCUUCCAAGGCUAAAUACACCGACGACCGAUAGUGCAGCAGUACCGUGAGGGAACGGUGAAAAGAACCCCGGCGAGGGGAGUGAAAUAGAAUCUGAAACCGUGUGCCUACAAUCGGUCAAAGCCUCGAAAGGGGUGAUGGCGUGCCUUUUGGAGAAUGAGCCGGCGAGUGCAUUUCAGUGGCAAGCUUAAGGGAGGGACACCCGGAGGCGAAGCGAAAGCGAGUCUGAAUAGGGCGAAGAGUGGCUGGAAUGCGACGCGAAACCUGGUGAGCUACGCAUGGGCAGGGUGAAAGUACCGUAACAGGUACCGGAGGCCCGAACUCACUACUGUUGCAAAAGUAGGGGAUGACCUGUGUGUAGGGGUGAUAUGCCAAACGAACUGGGAGAUAGCUCGUUCUCCCCGAAAUAGCUUUAGGGCUAGCGUUGUCAAAUAGGUGCAGGAGGUAAAGCGCUGGAUGGGCUAGGGGUCGUCCAGAUUACUGAACCCAACCAAACUAUGAAUGCCUGCACGCGAAUGAUGGCGAGUCGGACGGUGGGUUAUGAGAUUCAUCGUCGAGAGGGAAACAACCCAGACCUACAGCUAAGGUCCUGAAGUCCAUGCUCAGUGGGAAACGAUGUGGUCGUGUCGAAACAGCCAGGAGGUUGGCUUAGAAGCAGCCACCCUUUAAAGAGUGCGUAACAGCUCACUGGUCGAACGCGGCUGCGCGGAUAAUGUAACGGGGCUAAGCAUGGCACCGAAGCUUGGGAUCCAAAGCAAUUUGGGUGGUAGGGGAGCGUUCCAGGGGCGGAGAAGGCUGACCGGGAGGUUUGCUGGAGCGCCUGGGAGUGAGAAUGCCGGCAUGAGUAGCGUCAAACAUGUGAGAACCAUGUUCGCCGAAGAUCUAAGGUUUCCGACGGAAGGUCAGUCCACGUCGGGUUAGUCGGGCCUAAGCCGAGGCCGGAAGGCGUAGGUGAUGGACAACUGGUUAAUAUUCCAGUACCGGUGUGUGGUGCGUGAAGAGACUCUGGGAAAGGUCAGCCUCUGAGUGGAUUGAGGUGGCAAGCGGUUAACGACCGCGACGCCGUCCCGCAAGGGAAGAAGUGACUGGCACCUGGGGGCGAGAAAAGCUUCACGUAAUCGAGCACGCCGCCCGUACCUCAAACCGACACAGGUAGAUUGGUAGAGGAUACCAAGGCGAACGGGAGAACCCUCGUUAAGGAACUAGGCAAAAAGGCCCCGUAACUUCGGGAGAAGGGGCGCCGCCGCAAGGCGGCCGCAGCAAAGAGGCUCUACCGACUGUUUACCAAAAACACAGGUCUCUGCAAACGCGAAAGCGGACGUAUAGGGGCUGACACCUGCCCAGUGCCGGAAGGUUAAGAGGAGCGGUUAGGGGAAACCCGAAGCUGUGAAUUGAAGCCCCGGUGAACGGCGGCCGUAACUAUAACGGUCCUAAGGUAGCGAAAUUCCUUGUCGGGUAAGUUCCGACCCGCACGAAAGGUGUAACGAGUGGAGCACUGUCUCAACGGGGGGCCCGGCGAAAUUGAAGUACGUGUAAAGAUGCGCGUUACCCGCGGUCGGACAAAAAGACCCUGUGGAGCUUUACUGUAGCCUGUCAUUGCGUUAGGGCACUGUCUGUGUAGGCUAGCUGGGAGCCUGGGAAGCGUGGUCGCUAGACUGCGUGGAGGCGAUAGGUGAAAUACCAGCCUGACGAUGUUUUGACCCUAACCGCGCUUACUGAAUCGUAGGCCGGGACAGUGGCAGGUGGGCAGUUUGACUGGGGCGGUCGCCUCCUAAACAGUAACGGAGGCGCCCAAAGGUUGGCUCAGGUGGAAUGGAAACCCACCGUAGAGUGCAAAAGCAUAAGCCAGCUUGACUGCAAGGCCAACGCGCCGAGCAGAGACGAAAGUCGGGUUUAGUGAUCCCACGGCACUGAGUGGAAGGGCCGUGGCUUACCGGAUAAAAGCUACCCCGGGGAUAACAGGCUGAUCUUGCCCAAGAGUUCACAUCGACGGCAAGGUUUGGCACCUCGAUGUCGGCUCAUCGCAUCCUGGGGCUGGACAAGGUCCCAAGGGUUGGGCUGUUCGCCCAUUAAAGCGGUACGUGAGCUGGGUUCAGACCGUCGUGAGACAGGUCGGUCUCUAUCCGCCGUGGGCGCAGGGGAUUUGAGGGGAGCUGCCCUUAGUACGAGAGGACCGGGGUGGACGGAGCGCCUGUGAGCCGGUUGUCACGCCAGUGGCACAGCCGGGUAGCAGACUCCGGAGCAGAUAACCGCUGAAAGCAUCUAAGUGGGAAACUGACCUCAAGAUGAGAUCCCCCAUAGCGAAAGCUAGUAAGACCGCUCGGAGACGACGAGUUGGAUAGGCUGGGUGUGGAAGCGGUGAGAGCCGUGGAGCAAACCAGUACUAAUGGUCGAGGGCUUUUGUAU
This 2826-nucleotide ribosomal RNA is filed under the name Anaerolineae bacterium. Its description in RNAcentral is "23S ribosomal RNA". It matches the Rfam family "Bacterial large subunit ribosomal RNA". The record is from RNAcentral. Lineage: Bacteria; Bacillati; Chloroflexota; Anaerolineae.